This 1402-nucleotide ribosomal RNA is filed under the name Lactiplantibacillus plantarum. Its description in RNAcentral is "bacterial SSU rRNA". It matches the Rfam family "Bacterial small subunit ribosomal RNA", at positions 68 to 1443 of the family's 1533-position model. The record is from RNAcentral. Lineage: Bacteria; Bacillati; Bacillota; Bacilli; Lactobacillales; Lactobacillaceae.
GGUAUUGAUUGGUGCUUGCAUCAUGAUUUACAUUUGAGUGAGUGGCGAACUGGUGAGUAACACGUGGGAAACCUGCCCAGAAGCGGGGGAUAACACCUGGAAACAGAUGCUAAUACCGCAUAACAACUUGGACCGCAUGGUCCGAGCUUGAAAGAUGGCUUCGGCUAUCACUUUUGGAUGGUCCCGCGGCGUAUUAGCUAGAUGGUGGGGUAACGGCUCACCAUGGCAAUGAUACGUAGCCGACCUGAGAGGGUAAUCGGCCACAUUGGGACUGAGACACGGCCCAAACUCCUACGGGAGGCAGCAGUAGGGAAUCUUCCACAAUGGACGAAAGUCUGAUGGAGCAACGCCGCGUGAGUGAAGAAGGGUUUCGGCUCGUAAAACUCUGUUGUUAAAGAAGAACAUAUCUGAGAGUAACUGUUCAGGUAUUGACGGUAUUUAACCAGAAAGCCACGGCUAACUACGUGCCAGCAGCCGCGGUAAUACGUAGGUGGCAAGCGUUGUCCGGAUUUAUUGGGCGUAAAGCGAGCGCAGGCGGUUUUUUAAGUCUGAUGUGAAAGCCUUCGGCUCAACCGAAGAAGUGCAUCGGAAACUGGGAAACUUGAGUGCAGAAGAGGACAGUGGAACUCCAUGUGUAGCGGUGAAAUGCGUAGAUAUAUGGAAGAACACCAGUGGCGAAGGCGGCUGUCUGGUCUGUAACUGACGCUGAGGCUCGAAAGUAUGGGUAGCAAACAGGAUUAGAUACCCUGGUAGUCCAUACCGUAAACGAUGAAUGCUAAGUGUUGGAGGGUUUCCGCCCUUCAGUGCUGCAGCUAACGCAUUAAGCAUUCCGCCUGGGGAGUACGGCCGCAAGGCUGAAACUCAAAGGAAUUGACGGGGGCCCGCACAAGCGGUGGAGCAUGUGGUUUAAUUCGAAGCUACGCGAAGAACCUUACCAGGUCUUGACAUACUAUGCAAAUCUAAGAGAUUAGACGUUCCCUUCGGGGACAUGGAUACAGGUGGUGCAUGGUUGUCGUCAGCUCGUGUCGUGAGAUGUUGGGUUAAGUCCCGCAACGAGCGCAACCCUUAUUAUCAGUUGCCAGCAUUAAGUUGGGCACUCUGGUGAGACUGCCGGUGACAAACCGGAGGAAGGUGGGGAUGACGUCAAAUCAUCAUGCCCCUUAUGACCUGGGCUACACACGUGCUACAAUGGAUGGUACAACGAGUUGCGAACUCGCGAGAGUAAGCUAAUCUCUUAAAGCCAUUCUCAGUUCGGAUUGUAGGCUGCAACUCGCCUACAUGAAGUCGGAAUCGCUAGUAAUCGCGGAUCAGCAUGCCGCGGUGAAUACGUUCCCGGGCCUUGUACACACCGCCCGUCACACCAUGAGAGUUUGUAACACCCAAAGUCGGUGGGGUAACCUUU